UGGGGAAUUUUACACAAUGGGCGAAAGCCUGAUGUAGCAACGCCGCGUGGAGGAUGAAGGAUUUAGGUUCGUAAACUCCUUUUAUAGGGGAAGAAAUUUGACGGUACCCUAUGAAUAAGCACCGGCUAACUCCGUGCCAGCAGCCGCGGUAAUACGGGGGGUGCAAGCGUUACUCGGAAUCACUGGGCGUAAAGGGAGCGUAGGCGUUCUAUUAAGUCUUGAGUGAAAGCCCGCAGCCUAACUGCGGAACUGCUCAGGAAACUGAUAGAAUUGAGUAUGGAAGAGGUCAGUGGAAUUUCCAGUGUAGGGGUAAAAUCCGUAGAUAUUGGAAGGAAUACCAGAAGCGAAGGCGACUGACUGGGACAUUACUGACGCUGAGGCUCGAAAGCGUGGGGAGCAAACA
RNAcentral lists this ribosomal RNA (403 nucleotides) under uncultured prokaryote. RNAcentral describes it as "bacterial SSU rRNA". It matches the Rfam family "Bacterial small subunit ribosomal RNA", at positions 355 to 774 of the family's 1533-position model. The record is from RNAcentral.